UCCCUUGUGGUUCAAAGGCAGAACGCCGCACCGUUAAUGCGGAAAUCCAGGUUCGAGUCCUGGUGGGGGAG
Molecule: transfer RNA, 71 nt
Filed under: Actinomadura harenae
Lineage: Bacteria; Bacillati; Actinomycetota; Actinomycetes; Streptosporangiales; Thermomonosporaceae
Rfam family: tRNA
About the family: Transfer RNA (tRNA) molecules are approximately 80 nucleotides in length.
Source: Rfam by way of RNAcentral